This is a long non-coding RNA of Rhipicephalus microplus (southern cattle tick), 724 nucleotides long. Lineage: Eukaryota; Metazoa; Arthropoda; Arachnida; Ixodida; Ixodidae. The record is from RefSeq and is a predicted model, not a curated record.
UGCCGUUCAGCGACCACAGUGAAGAUCCCAACUCUACAUACCACAGGCCUUCUAGAAGCAAGCUUUAUACAAAUUAAUGUACAUCAGUCUCAGAAGAUUUUCAAUUUUGAUUUGUUAUAUAUCGGCGCAGUAGAGCUGGGUUUUACUUAUUUCAGGCUGCGGUUCAGCGGCUUCAACAUCGUGCGUAAUAAUUGCACUGUCGGCCGGUACACCGCGCUCAGACAUGGCACCCAGCGCCCAAAUCCCAAACGAAUGAGACUGAUCAGACGGUCCUUCUUUCGCAUAUACAAGGAUGGCCUGAACACACUCAAGUACAGGGUGCUUGACAUCGUCUUCAAAAAGCUAUUUACCUACAUCAAGGUUGACUUGUUUCAGAAAGUACUCACCAAGCCAACCGAAUGAUUGCGAUUUUUACUGGUGCUGCGAGUGCAACUAUUAUACAAAAAUUUGUGAAUUGGUGCACAUUGCACAACACUUAUGCGGCAAUAACUUUUGUAACCCUUGUUACUUACUAUUAUUAUUAAACUAACAUUUUUAUCGAGAAUGUUAUACAUUGUCACCUAGUAACUAAGUGAAGAAUGGAUCGAUCGCCUCGCACAGACAUGACCGACAGCACUUUUCAGCAUAUGCAUAAUAAAAUAGUUUGUCUUACUAGUGUGCUAUAGCAGUAACAUAGUCUCUCGCACACAGUAAAAUGGAAAUACAAGAACCAAGACGGACCAAA